GGUCCUGUAGCUCAGUCGGUAGAGCACGGCACUGAAAAUGCCGGUGUCGGCAGUUCAAUUCUGCCUGGGACCACCA
Molecule: transfer RNA, 76 nt
Filed under: Lachnospiraceae bacterium
Lineage: Bacteria; Bacillati; Bacillota; Clostridia; Lachnospirales; Lachnospiraceae
Also listed under: 6 other names
Description: tRNA-Phe
Rfam family: tRNA
About the family: Transfer RNA (tRNA) molecules are approximately 80 nucleotides in length. Their secondary structure includes four short double-helical elements and three loops (D, anti-codon, and T loops).
Source: RNAcentral